This 460-nucleotide ribosomal RNA is filed under the name uncultured bacterium. RNAcentral's name for it is "partial 16S ribosomal RNA". It matches the Rfam family "Bacterial small subunit ribosomal RNA", at positions 338 to 795 of the family's 1533-position model. The record is from RNAcentral.
CCUACGGGAGGCAGCAGUGAGGAAUAUUGGUCAAUGGUCGAGAGUCUGAACCAGCCAAGCAGCGUGAAGGAUGACUGCCCUAUGGGUUGUAAACUUCUUUUAUAUGGGAAUAAAAUGUUCCACGUGUGGGAUUUUGUAUGUACCAUAUGAAUAAGGAUCGGCUAACUCCGUGCCAGCAGCCGCGGUAAUACGGAGGAUCCGAGCGUUAUCCGGAUUUAUUGGGAUUAAAGGGAGCGUAGGUGGAUUGUUAAGUCAGUUGUGAAAGUUUGCGGCUCAACCGUAAAAUUGCAGUUGAAACUGGCAGUCUUGAGUAGAGUAGAGGUGUGCGGAAUGCGUGGUGUAGCGGUGAAAUGCUUAGAUAUCACGAAGAACUCCGAUUGCGAAGGCAGUUCACUGGACUGACACUGACACUGAGGCUCGAAAGUGUGGGUAUCAAACAGGAUUAGAUACCCGAGUAGUC